UACGGAGGGCGCAAGCGUUACUCGGAAUCACUGGGCGUAAAGAGCGUGUAGGCGGACUAAUAAGUCAGAAGUGAAAUCCAAUAGCUUAACUAUUGAACUGCUUUUGAAACUGUUUGUCUAGAGUGUGGGAGAGGUAGAUGGAAUUUCUGGUGUAGGGGUAAAAUCCGUAGAUAUCAGAAGGAAUACCGAUUGCGAAGGCGAUCUACUGGAACAUAACUGACGCUGAGACGCGAAAGCGUGGGGAGCAAACAGG
This 253-nucleotide ribosomal RNA is filed under the name uncultured bacterium. RNAcentral describes it as "partial 16S ribosomal RNA". It matches the Rfam family "Bacterial small subunit ribosomal RNA", at positions 524 to 776 of the family's 1533-position model. The record is from RNAcentral. RNAcentral also lists the same sequence under 1 other name.